Molecule: ribosomal RNA, 451 nt
Filed under: uncultured prokaryote
Description: partial 16S ribosomal RNA
Source: RNAcentral
CCCUAUGGGGUGCGACCCUGAAGGAUGUCACGGAGAUGGAAAUACGGGAAAGGAUAACCCGCAUGCGCUACAUCGAUGAAAAAGAACUGGAUACCCUGGACACGCUGGAAGAGGACAUCAAGAAGGAAAUCGGCAAGCUGAUGCCGGCAGGGGGUGAGGUCCAUGUUGCCUAAGGAGUAUCGAACCAUCACCAACCUAUCCGGUCCGCUGAUGGUUGUCGAUAAGGUGAACGAGGUUCGCUACGACGAGUUGGUCGAGAUCGAGCUGGCGUCCGGUGAAAGAAGAAGGGGGCGCGUUCUCGAAAUCACGACGGACAGGGCCCUUGUGCAGGUUUUCGAGGGUACGACCGGUAUCGACAUCGAAUCCACGAAGGUUCGGUUCCUCGGCAAGGUGCUUGCGCUGCCGGUGAGCCGGACAAUGCUGGGCAGGAUAUUCAACGGAAGGGGAGAGC